Molecule: long non-coding RNA, 2023 nt
Filed under: Heterocephalus glaber (naked mole-rat)
Lineage: Eukaryota; Metazoa; Chordata; Mammalia; Rodentia; Bathyergidae
Description: lncRNA (ENSHGLG00000031891.1)
Source: RNAcentral
CCUGUCGUCGCCCCCGCGCCUGGGAUGCGGCCUCUCGGGUCGUAGUCACCCUCGCCCGCGCCUCCGCCCACCACCGCCCCGUUCCCGGUCGCUGCCGCCACCGCCGGGGCUCAUGCGGGACCCGCGCCGCCUUCUCCGGAAGCCGGGCCGGGACACGGCGCGCCUGGGCCGCCGAGAACCCGACGCUCGUCGCCAGCCGCCGCUGUCGGUGCGCGCCGAGGGGUUGCGGAGCCGCCUGGCAGGGGCUGCAGGCCGCGAGCGACGCCGAGGAGGCGCUGAGGGUCGGCGGAGGCGAAGCUAAGCGGGCAGCGGGCGGCUGCGCAGCGGCGGGGCGCACGAGCGAGGGCUGGGUGGUGCGUCGCGGUCUAGGCGGAGAGGGAGCGGGCCCUGUCGUCUCCCAGAGUCACCCCGAUCCCAGCGCCACCAUCUUGGGAGGAACACUGAUCUCGCGACCGCGGCGCCAAACGGGAGGACGGGCUGGGCGGGCCGAGUAUCCCGGCAGGCAGCGCGCGCCGCCCGGCCGGGCGAGGGCUUCAAGCCGAGACGCGAGGAGUCGGGGCCGGACGGAACGCACGCGGAGGGCGCCGCGCUCGGCCCCACCCCCGGCCAGCUCGCCCCCCUCCGGCUUCCCGUCGCCCCCGGCGCAGGGGCGGCUGGGAAGGGGAGAUGAGGGCUCGCGGCUCGGCCGAACCCACCGGGGCCGGCCGCCAUCUUAGGACUGGGCAAAGGGGUUAACACUCACCUCACUCUGUGCUGUCGGUGGCCGAGCAGAAAGAACCAGGUACGCUCCGGAAGCCCGCGGCACUCCCUGGAGGGCUGGACCGCACCCCGUGGUCUACCCAGUGGAAGAACGCCUCCGAUUUUAUUGGGGGACGAGUCGGCUCCGAGUAUUGGCGGAGGCGGCGUUGAUAGGUUCAAGCCCCGAGGCGGCGCAGAAGCCUCAGUCGCUAGGCUCCGACCCUGACCACCCCUCUUCACCCGGAGCUGCUCCGGUAAACGGGACAGGGUGACCUGAGCGUGCGGGCUAGCUUUCCGGAGGCCAAGGUCAUCCGCUUAGGCCUCCUGCCCGCGCAGAGCGCAUCGCUAGCCCCCGGGACCCGGCGGGGAGCGCCCGUCCCCUCGCGGAGGGCUCCCAGUGCGUCCGGGUGGCGAAGUGGCCUCCGAGUUGACUCCACGUGGAUGGAAGCUAAUUUUGAUCCGCAUGUCGGCCGAACCGAUUUGAAGCAAACUCUGCCAGGCCUUGAGAAGCAAUAAAAGAUCGACAAUCUCUAUCCCUGCUCUCAAGAAAUCAGUUCAAAAGGAAGUAAAAGUAUGGAAACUUUUUCAGUGAUUAUGAGAGUAGUCUACUAAUAUGUAUCUACUAAUCCCAACAAGCUUUUUAAAAUGAAGCAUUCUUCCCUAAACUGCUGGUGUAGCUGGUUUUUUGACAGAGCUAUUUUGUUGCUCAAGAUUUCUUGUUGAUGUGAAUCACAACAGAUGAAUCCAAGUGCAAAAACAUUUUUUGUCUUACGCAGCGUACCCCAGGAUCAGAAAUCCGAGAGUCUGGAAAAAAUAAAGGUUAAAUGGGGUGGUAUUCAGUGUUGUUGUUUUUAGGCCUCAUCAAAAUGUUAACACGUUCAAGACAUUAAGCUUUCAGUAUGUGAGUACCCCUAGUAUUAAGAAACGCUAUUGAAGUAAAAUUAGCUCCAUGAAGAACAUUGUCUGGUUUAUAAGUGCGUUUAAAAACUUUUGGGGGUGGUACUGGAGAUUGAACUCAGGGCAUUUUGUUUGUUUGGUUGGUUGGUUUUUGCUUAUUUUGAGUCAAGGUCACUAAAUUUCCCGGGCUGGGCUCAGAUUUGUAGUCCUGCUGCAUCUUUCUCCCAGAAUGCAGUCAAGAAUUUGUUAGUCCUUAGUAGUAGUACUAUUAAUAUUAUCUGUAUCGUUAUUUAUCAUUAACAUGUUGUGCAUGCUCUCCUUCAUGCCUAACCUGUGUAAAUCUGCAUUCUUCUUGAUUUGUCUUAAGAUAUGAACCAUUCAUCCUUUC